Molecule: small RNA, 771 nt
Filed under: Pan troglodytes (chimpanzee)
Lineage: Eukaryota; Metazoa; Chordata; Mammalia; Primates; Hominidae
Description: retained intron
Source: RNAcentral
UGCCUCCUUUCUAGCAGCAGCAGCUCCAGCCGCUGUCCCACCACGCACCCCCUGUGCCCCUCACCCCCCGCCCAGCCGGGCUGGUGGGCGGCAGUGCUACGGGGCUGCUUGCUCUGUCUGGAGCCCUGGCUGCCCAGGCUCAGCUGGCCGCGGCUGUCAAGGAGGACCGUGCGGGCGUGGAGGCCGAGGGGUCCAGAGAGUGCAUCUCCCUCGCCCCCUGAGAGUCUCGUGGAGGAGGAGCGACCGAGUGGCCCUGGUGGUGGCGGGAAGCAGAGAGCAGAUGAGAAGGAGCCGUCAGGACCUUAUGAAAGCGACGAAGACAAGAGUGACUACAAUCUGGUGGUGGACGAGGACCAACCCUCAGAGCCCCCCAGCCCGGCUACCACCCCCUGCGGAAAGGUACCCAUCUGCAUUCCUGCCCGUCGGGACCUGGUGGACAGUCCAGCCUCCUUGGCCUCUAGCCUUGGCUCACCGCUCCCUAGAGCCAAGGAGCUCAUCCUGAAUGACCUUCCCGCCAGCACUCCUGCCUCCAAAUCCUGUGACUCCUCCCCACCCCAGGACGCGUCCACCCCCGGGCCCAGCUCGGCCAGUCACCUCUGCCAGCUCGCUGCCAAGCCAGCGCCUUCCACGGACAGCAUCGCCCUGAGGAGCCCCCUGACUCUGUCCAGUCCCUUCACCACGUCCUUCAGCCUGGGCUCCCACAGCACUCUCAACGGAGACCUCUCCGUGCCCAGCUCCUACGUCAGCCUCCACCUGUCCCCCCAGGUCAGC